CGUCCUGAGCUCCUUGUUGUGCGCCGCCCAGGAGGGCUUGCACUCGCCGCUCGACCAGAGCCACCACGAGCUGGGCGUCGUUGCACUUGCCGGCGACCUGGCCGUCCCCUCUGCACCGCCCUCCACCUCAAAUUUGGACGAGCAUGUGUUUGUGUAUGUUCUCAGUUAUUUUUUGCACACAAGGUGUUUGUGUGUUUGUCCGAGCCAGUUUCAGUCACAGAUCCUUAAGGAUGCCAUCUCAGGUCAUGGAUCCACUGUGGCCGCUUCGUCCUUCACUGAGGACCUUCUCAUCCCCACAGAGAUCAGAGGUAACCCACACAGUUGGAAAUAGUUGCUCAAGUUCUUGCUUCAACAAAUUUUGUUCCGGAUAUAAUUUAUGGCCAUGCCAUGUAUUAAUUAUUCUUAUAAUGGUCAUCUGAAUUUGCAAAGAAAAUUAUAUUUUGGAAGCAGGAACCCUUACCUCAUAAGAUGGGUGAGCUGUAGGAUUUGGUUCUGUUCAACUUGAAUUAGUUUUUGCUCAUCAUGUUCUCUGUAUUAGGAAUUCAGAUGCCUUCCAGCUCUAAUCUUUUCGUAUUGUUGGUGCAUGCUGGGAGUCACAUUGUUAUGCAUGCUAGCAAACAUUAGGAUUGGAAAUCUUACCCUGUAGGUUAUUAAUAUCUUUUCCACUAUACUGAGAUUCAGCAAUUUAAUCCGUAUGGUCGCACAAGCAGUUUUGUUUUCGGAUUUUUCUUGACAAACAUAUUGGGUACAUCAAUUUAAAUCAUAUUAAGGUCACACAAGCAGUUAGUUACAUUGCACUUGGGUCACCGACGGUUGCCGAGCUACUAUGAUCCUCUCAUGUUGUAGUGGCUAGCUGCUGCAAUUCAUGGAUCAUGCUCUCUCGUGGGAAGGAGGCUGUGGCUUUCUCAAUUGAUCAGAAAACAGAACCCUACAUAGUUCUUUUCUAGAUAUAUAUUGUUAUUUCUGAUGUUGUGUGGACCAUCAGAAACCUGAUGUGUGUGUGUAUCAUAGAAUAUCUUGCUAUUUAUGUAUAUUGCUUCCCUUUUAUUUAUGUUCUACUUCUCUAAAUAUAAGCCACUUCUUUUCUAUUGUUAGCGCUAUCUUUUGAUGUUAAUGCACUAAAAGUCUAAAGCCUUUCCCUCUGCAAAAUGAUGAUAUUAGAGCUAUGCGUCUUAUAAUCCGUACUGUAUAUGACAAUGCGAUAUUCAGUUAUAUUAUGUUUGUAGCAUGGCAUUUUUCCAUUCCUUUUCUUUUUCCGAUGAAUCACAUGGUAAAUUAUGAUCUACAAUGACUGCUCUUGCAAAAAGUUUGGAAUUCAGAGAAGGAUUCUACAACGAGCAAGGUUUUAGGUUCUGAAUCUAAAAGGCCUCUUCUUUAGUUCAGUCCUAGCAAAAGCUGAUCAGAGAAACAAAGAAGCAGCAACGAAUGGGUCCCUUUCUUGCCCACAAGAGUUGUCUGUGUGCAAGUCAUGAACCUUUUGUCCAUCAAUACAAGUGCAGGAUUUGAACAUGUUAAUUCUGACCUUCUGUUGGGAGUUUAUAUUAUACCUUUCAUGCGAAGUAGUUACAUUUAUCGCAUGGAAGACAAUGCCCAUAGAGUGGAAGGUGGAGAGAUUCAGACUUCGGAGGAUGUUAAUAUGCUCAAAGUUUUUCAAUUAAACAUGUUGAAAUCUUCCAUGUAGCUGUGAUUGUUCUCUCCGGACAUGGAGGAUCAGUUCUUGGACAAAUUUAUCUGUCUGUUGUAUGACUUGCCACCAUUUUUUCGAAAUUUCUAUUCACAUGUUAUCAAACCAAAAAUAUUUCAAUAUCUUAAAACUUUAGUAGAAUUAAUCUGCCUCUAUUUCUGGACUCUAGCAUUUUGUGCUUCUUCACAAGUUCUAAGUUGUUAUUUGGCGAUUAAUUUAAUUUGAUCUUGAACUUUGGGUUCUUGGCACUCGCCCGUGCAGGUUAUGACUAUGUCAUAGGUGACGUGCGGAAAGGUGACCAACAAGGAGAAGAUUGCAUGAAGAAUUCUUGCUAUCAACUAGGGCUGGAUGCCCCCAGGAAGAAUACUGAAAGGAGAGCAGAGUUCAGGGCAUGUUCAGCUCCAUCCAUGCAUCAAGGGAAAUAUAUACGAGGCAAAGGAAUUACGUGUUCUGCUAGAUGACAUAGUACAAGGUUCAGCAGCGACGACAUGAUCUCAAACAUGGCACUGAGUACAAGGCAAAGUUAUGUGGUGGGUCGGAUGGAGAGCUUGGCGCGGCGAUGUGGCAGGCUGCUCUACAGUGGCACUAAUGGAGAGCUCGGUCAACGAUGACGGGACGACCGACUGAUCUGCGGCAGCGUGGAAGGAGGGCUCGGCGGUCGACACGGCGGCUUGAUCCGCUGUUCUGCGACGUUUCGGAGAACUUCUUGUACUGGUGUGUGUGUAUGCAUAGGUGCUGUACUAUCCUGGGCGCUCACUCCCCCAGGAUCCCACAAGUUUGCAUAGAGCUCGGACGUCGGUGGCGGCCUGGCACGCUAAUCUGCCGCCUCCACAUGAGGAGUCGUGAGAUUAGUGCAUCACAUUCAAAAGUCGCCGCUCCGUGAUUAGGGCAUUGCAUUCAGGCAUUCAGUAGAUUAGAAGACAUAUUUAGCUAGCACUGGGAUCCAUCGCCAUUGUAGGGCCUUGAAUCUUUUCAAUCCUUGCCAGGACAGUUCUUGCCAUGGACGACGGGUCUCUCUGUGUGGUCUUGGUCCAAAAGCUAAAAUAGGGAAUAAGAUGUGCCUUGCCGUGUGGAGUGUUGGGUAUCUUUUGCACUUGCUCCAUCAGCUGCAGAAACUAUAGCCCAAAUGCAGCAUACUGCUACUAUUUCAUAUCAUUGAUUGAUGAUUUGUUUUUUCAUAAUUGAAUUGGCGAAUGAUGAAAAGGUGUAAUGUUCAGGGAUUUUUGCUAGAUGAUUUGUUGAUCCAGUUUAAUUUUAGUAGGC
Triticum urartu is the source of this 2947-nucleotide non-coding RNA. The record is from RefSeq and is a predicted model, not a curated record. Lineage: Eukaryota; Viridiplantae; Streptophyta; Magnoliopsida; Poales; Poaceae.